AAUCAAGUGACUUAAGAGCAUCAGGCGAAUGCCUUGGCGCACACAGGCGAUGAAGGACGUGGUACGCUGCGAAAAGCCAUGGGGAGCUGCGAACAAGCUUUGAUCCGUGGAUAUCCGAAUGGGGAAACCCGGCCCUUCGGGGUCAUGCACUGCUGAAUACAUAGGUAGUGCAGGCGAACCCGGUGAACUGAAACAUCUCAGUAACCGGAGGAAAGGACAUCAACCGAGACUCCGUUAGUAGUGGCGAGCGAACGCGGACCAGGCCAGUGCCGGUCAUUGUCUAACUGGAACUUUCUGGAAAGUUAGGCCGUAGUGGGUGACAGCCCCGUACAGGUGUUGACAAUGAACGGACUUGAGUAAGGCGGGACACGUGAAAUCCUGUCUGAACAUGGGGGGACCACCCUCCAAGCCUAAGUACUCGUGUGCGACCGAUAGUGAACAAGUACCGUGAGGGAAAGGUGAAAAGAACCCCGACGAGGGGAGUGAAAGAGAUCCUGAAACCGGAUGCUUACAAUCAGUCGGAGCCCUUCGGGGUGACGGCGUACCUUUUGUAUAAUGGGUCAGCGACUUAAUCUGUCGAGCAAGCUUAAACCGUUAGGUGUAGGCGCAGGGAAACCGAGUCUUAAUAGGGCGACAAGUUCGAUGUAUUAGACCCGAAACCAGGUGAUCUAGCCAUGGGCAGGUUGAAGGUGCAGUAACAUGCACUGGAGGACCGAACCCACCUAUGUUGAAAAAUGGGGGGAUGACUUGUGGCUAGGGGUGAAAGGCCAAUCAAACCUGGAAAUAGCUGGUUCUCCGCGAAAUCUAUUUAGGUAGAGCGUCGGACUAAUACUCUCGGGGGUAGAGCACUGGAUGGGCUAGGGGGGUUCAACGCCUUACCAAACCUAACCAAACUCCGAAUACCGAGAAGUAAUAUCUGGCAGACACACUGCGGGUGCUAAGGUCCGUAGUGGAAAGGGAAACAGCCCUAAUCGCCAGCUAAGGUCCCUAAGUUAUGGCUAAGUGGCAAAGGAUGUGGAAAUCCCAAAACAACCAGGAGGUUGGCUUAGAAGCAGCCAUCCUUUAAAGAAAGCGUAACAGCUCACUGGUCUAAAUAAGGGUUUCUGCGCCGAAAAUGUAACGGGGCUAAAGCCAUACACCGAAGCUGCGAAUGUAUCAUUUCUUCUGGAUUUGAUACGUGGUAGCGGAGCGUUCCGUAAGCCUGUGAAGGGUACUCGUAAGAGUAUCUGGAGGUAUCGGAAGUGAGAAUGCUGACAUGAGUAACGAUAAAGAGUGUGAGAGACACUCUCGCCGAAAGUCCAAGGGUUCCUGCGUAAAGCUAAUCUGCGCAGGGUUAGCCGGCCCCUAAGGCGAGGCCGAAAGGCGUAGUCGAUGGGAACGGGGUUAAUAUUCCCCGGCCAGCGGGUGGUGACGAAUGUUGUAAGUUGUCAGUCCUUAUCGGAUUGAACUGGCAGCGAAGAUGUUCCAGGAAAUAGCCCCCGCAUCAGACCGUACCCCAAACCGACACAGGUGGACAGGUAGAGAAUACUAAGGCGCUUGAGAGAACCGCAUUGAAGGAACUCGGCAAAAUGCACCCGUAACUUCGGGAGAAGGGUGACCUGCACUUGGGCAACCAGGUGCGGGUGGCACAGAUCAGGGGGUGGCGACUGUUUACUAAAAACACACGGCUCUGCGAAGUCGCAAGACGACGUAUAGGGUCUGACGCCUGCCCGCUGCCGGAAGGUUAAAGAGAGGGGUGAGAGCUCUGAACUGAAGCCCCGGUAAACGGCGGCCGUAACUAUAACGGUCCUAAGGUAGCGAAAUUCCUUGUCGGGUAAGUUCCGACCUGCACGAAUGGCGUAACGACUUCCCCGCUGUCUCCAAU
RNAcentral lists this ribosomal RNA (1864 nucleotides) under Deltaproteobacteria bacterium. RNAcentral's name for it is "partial 23S ribosomal RNA". It matches the Rfam family "Bacterial large subunit ribosomal RNA", at positions 1 to 2026 of the family's 2925-position model. Lineage: Bacteria; Pseudomonadati; Myxococcota; Myxococcia. The record is from RNAcentral.